ACGAACGCUGGCGGCGUGCCUAAUACAUGCAAGUAGAACGCACAGUUUAUACCGUAGCUUGCUACACCAUAGACUGUGGGUUGCGAACGGGUGAGUAACGCGUAGGUAACCUGCCUGGUAGCGGGGGAUAACUAUUGGAAACGAUAGCUAAUACCGCAUAAUAUUAAUUAUUGCAUGAUAAUUAAUUGAAAGGUGCAAUUGCACCACUACCAGAUGGACCUGCGUUGUAUUAGCUAGUAGGUGAGGUAACGGCUCACCUAGGCGACGAUACAUAGCCGACCUGAGAGGGUGAUCGGCCACACUGGGACUGAGACACGGCCCAGACUCCUACGGGAGGCAGCAGUAGGGAAUCUUCGGCAAUGGACGAAAGUCUGACCGAGCAACGCCGCGGGAGUGAAGAAGGGUUUCGGAUCGUAAAGCUCUGUUGUAAGAGAAGAACGGGUGUGAGAGUGGAAAGUUCACACUGUGACGGUAUCUUACCAGAAAGGGACGGCUAACUACGUG
Molecule: ribosomal RNA, 504 nt
Filed under: uncultured bacterium
Lineage: Bacteria
Description: partial 16S ribosomal RNA
Rfam family: Bacterial small subunit ribosomal RNA
Source: RNAcentral